GGCUUCGUAGGUUAGCUGGUGGAACGCUUGCCGCGUUGAGGCAUACUAUGUUUGUCACUGGUUCAAAUCCAGUCGAAGCCA
RNAcentral lists this transfer RNA (81 nucleotides) under Paragonimus westermani. Its description in RNAcentral is "tRNA-Asn". It matches the Rfam family "tRNA". From Rfam's summary of the family: Transfer RNA (tRNA) molecules are approximately 80 nucleotides in length. Their secondary structure includes four short double-helical elements and three loops (D, anti-codon, and T loops). Lineage: Eukaryota; Metazoa; Platyhelminthes; Trematoda; Plagiorchiida; Troglotrematidae. The record is from RNAcentral.